RNAcentral lists this ribosomal RNA (392 nucleotides) under uncultured bacterium. RNAcentral describes it as "bacterial SSU rRNA". It matches the Rfam family "Bacterial small subunit ribosomal RNA", at positions 28 to 430 of the family's 1533-position model. The record is from RNAcentral.
GAUUAACGCUGGCGGCGUGCCUAACACAUGCAAGUCGAACGGGGUAGCAAUACUCCAGUGGCAGACGGGUGAGUAACACGUGACCAACCUACCCUAGAGCGGGGGAGUAACUAGCCGAAAGGUUAGCUAAUACCGCAUGACACGAAGCGAGGCAUCUCGCAACGUUGAAAGGAGCAAUCCGCUCGAGGACGGGGUCGCGUCCGAUUAGCUAGUUGGUGGGGUAACGCCUACCAAGGCNCCGAUCGGUAGCUGGUUGGAGAGAGCGACCAGCCACACUGGGACUGAGAAACGGCCCAGACUCCUACGGGAGGCAGCAGUGAGGAAUUUUCCGCAAUGGGCGAAAGCCUGACGGAGCGACGCCGCGUGUGGGAAGAAGGCCUUCGGUCGUAACC